GAGUGCGCAGGCGGUUUUGCAAGACCGAUGUGAAAUCCCCGGGCUUAACCUGGGAACUGCAUUGGUGACUGCAAGGCUAGAGUGUGUCAGAGGGAGGUGGAAUUCCGCAUGUAGCAGUGAAAUGCGUAGAUAUGCGGAGGAACACCGAUGGCGAAGGCAGCCUCCUGGGAUAACACUGACGCUCAUGCACGAAAGCGUGGGGAGCAAACAGGAUUAGAUACCCUGGUAGUCCACGCCCUAAACGAUGUCUACUAGUUGUCGGGGAUUAAUUUCCUUGGUAAUGCAGCUAACGCGUGAAGUAGACCGCCUGGGGAGUACGGUCGCAAGAUUAAAACUCAAAGGAAUUGACGGGGACCCGCACAAGCGGUGGAUGAUGUGGAUUAAUUCGAUGCAACGCGAAAAACCUUACCUACGCUUGACAUGUCCGGAACCCUGAAGAGAUUUGGGGGUGCUCGAAAGAGAGCCGGAACACAGGUGCUGCAUGGCUGUCGUCAGCUCGUGUCGUGAG
This 508-nucleotide ribosomal RNA is filed under the name uncultured bacterium. RNAcentral describes it as "bacterial SSU rRNA". It matches the Rfam family "Bacterial small subunit ribosomal RNA", at positions 565 to 1071 of the family's 1533-position model. The record is from RNAcentral.